RNAcentral lists this long non-coding RNA (435 nucleotides) under Cavia porcellus (domestic guinea pig). Its description in RNAcentral is "lncRNA (ENSCPOG00000031611.1)". Lineage: Eukaryota; Metazoa; Chordata; Mammalia; Rodentia; Caviidae. The record is from RNAcentral.
CAGUGUUGGCAUUAACCUGUCAAAUGUUCAUGUCCUUCUCGUGCUGCAGGAGGAGACGUGGUGAGCCAGUUUGAAUUUAAUUUGAACUACCUUGCUCGGCGCUGGUAUGUACCUGUCAAAGAUCUUGUGGGGAUCUACGAGAAACUCUAUGGCCAGAAAGUCAUUACUGAAAAUGUCAUUGUUGACUGUUCCUACCUUCAGUUCUUGGAAAUGUAUGGAGAGAUGUUAGCUGUUUCCAAGCUGUAUUCCACCUACUCCACAAAGUCCCCGUUUUUGGUGGAACAUUUCCAAGAGUAUUUCCUUGGAGGACUGGAUGAUAUGGCGUUCUGGUCCACCAAUAUCUACCGCCUGACGAGCUUCAUGCUAGAGAAUGGUACCAGGUGAAUUUAGCAUGCUAUUUCUCACACCAAUCCUCUUUGUCUUUCUGCCCUGUUC